GGCCGAGUGGCGGAAUCGGUAGACGCACGGGACUUAAAAUCCCGUGGGCCGAUAGGCCCGUGCGGGUUCGAAUCCCGCCUCGGCUA
RNAcentral lists this transfer RNA (86 nucleotides) under Planctomycetota bacterium. Its description in RNAcentral is "tRNA-Leu". It matches the Rfam family "tRNA". Rfam says of the family: Transfer RNA (tRNA) molecules are approximately 80 nucleotides in length. Their secondary structure includes four short double-helical elements and three loops (D, anti-codon, and T loops). RNAcentral also lists the same sequence under 2 other names. Lineage: Bacteria; Pseudomonadati; Planctomycetota. The record is from RNAcentral.